CUGGUGGCUGCCUGCCUGCUUGCUGCAAGAGAAGGAGGUGAAGGCUAGUAGGAAGGGAGAGGAGGACUGAGGGAUUUGGCGCAUCUUUCCUUACAUCUCUGUGUGCGCACAUGGGAAGAAGAUUCAGCUCACAAAAGAAAUUACCCAGAUUUCUAGAAUUCUGAUGUGUUUUUCGUUUAUUCCUGGUUUUUACUUUUUGAAUGUUUUAUUUUUUAAAAAAAUAGUUUUAUUGUACUGUUAUUUUUGUAAACCACUUCAAGGUUUUUCUACAAUCAAGAAGUGAAAUAAAUAAAUAUGAACAAAAGUGCAAUAAAUAUCCACCUAAAACAUUUGAGAGCCACUUCUUGAGUUUGUGUUGCUCAGAUUGCUCCUCUGAUUAGAGGAACAAUUUAAAAAAGAAUGGGUGCAUCAGGGAUGACGGGUGGAAAGAAGGCAUUUCCUCAAAAUACUUCUCAAAAUUACCACUUCUCUCCAAGCUUUCAUUCACAGUAUAUUUGUAUUUAAUGUGUAUAGUAAAUGUGUAUGUGUGCACCACUAACUAGUGAUCUUUGCCACCCUUUCACACCCCUACCUCAAAACUAAUUUUUCUAGAUCUGGGGUAAAACAACACAACAGAGGUGCUUUAGUAAUCGUUUUUGCUGGGUGUGGACUUGCAACAGCGGUUUCUCAAUUUCUAUAGGGUUGGCCCACAUAACUUCAGUUACAGCCUCUCUGUUUCUCAUCAUUGCACUGUUCUGCUUAAUCCUGUUGUUUAGCCUCAUCACUUUUUUCUUUUUUAAAUGUGGUGACAGCCCUCAGGCAGAGGUGAGACGGCAGGAUGUGGUGGCUCCACCUGCAAGUUGCAACACAACCUGGACAGGGGAGAGGACUACAUACCAAGAGCCGUAGGCAAAUGUGAUAGGCUGCAAAGCAAUCUGCUGUUCUCUUUGGCAGGGACAGCUGACACUCUUCCCUCAAGGAUUGCCAGGGAUGGGAAGAUGCCCCUUGAGGUGAAAUGGCCCUUUCCCCGGGCCCCACAUCUGCCCUGGACCUUGGCCAGCAGGGUGGUCAUGGGCUUGGUGGGCACCUACAGCUGCUUCUGGACCAGGUAUAUGAACCAGCUGAAUGUCCAUAACAAAGAAGUACUGUAUGAGCUUAUUGAGAAGCGCCAGGAAGGCAUCCCUCUUUUGACGGUCUGCAACCACCAGUCCUGCAUGGAUGAUCCACAUCUGUGGGGGAUCCUGAAAUUACGGCACGUCUGGAACUUGCAGAAAAUGCGCUGGACCCCAACAGCUGCAGACAUCUGCUUCACCAAGGAGCUGCAUUCCCGUUUCUUCAGCCUUGGGCGAUGUGUACCUGUCUGUCGUGGAGAUGGAGUCUAUCAGAAAGGCAUGGACUACAUUCUUGAGAAACUCAACCAUGGAGACUGGGUUCACAUGUUCCCAGAAGGCAAAGUAAACAUGACACAGGAAUUCAUGCGCUUCAAAUGGGGCAUUGGGCGUCUUCUGGCUGAAUGCCGCCUUCACCCCAUUAUACUGCCACUCUGGCAUGUAGGAAUGAAUGAUGUACUCCCCAAUGCACCCCCAUACGUGCCCCGUGCUGGGCAGAAGAUCACCGUGCUAAUUGGGAAGCCAUUCAGUGCCCGUCCACUGCUGGAGCACCUGCGGGCAGAGAACAAAUCAGCGUACAAUUGGAAACCAACAGCCAUCUUUCUAGGAGAACGAUGAUGGGAAUAAGUAAGACUGAUCUGCUAAGAGAAGCAGAAGUAUUUAUCAGCUGUCAAAGAUGGAGAUGCGGAAAGCGUUGACUGAUUUCAUUCAGGAGGAGAUCCAGGCACUGAAGGACCAGGCCGAGAGACUGCAUCAGACUUUCAAGCUUCAGG
Podarcis raffonei (Aeolian wall lizard) is the source of this 1861-nucleotide RNA transcript. It is a transcript of the gene named tafazzin, phospholipid-lysophospholipid transacylase, with no coding region annotated. The transcript is spliced from 11 exons. Lineage: Eukaryota; Metazoa; Chordata; Lepidosauria; Squamata; Lacertidae. The record is from RefSeq and is a predicted model, not a curated record.